UCUAUAAGCCGCUUAAAAAUUACCCUCUAACCGAAGAGUGUUAGAUAGCGUCGAAGGACAAGAAGACCCUAUAGAGCUUAAUUUAAAUAAAUAUAAAAAAUUUACUAAAAUUCGGUUGGGGCGACCGGGGAAUUACCCAUCAUCCCUAAGCAAAAGAUAAAUAUAUCAAAAUUCUGACCCUUCUACAAGAUCAUUAAAACAAGCUACCUUAGGGAUAACAGGCUAAUCUCACUAGAGAGUCCUUAUCAAUAGUGAGGAUUGGCACCUCGAUGUUGGCUUAGGGAAUCUCUAUGACGCAAAAGUCAUAUAAAGAUGGUUUGUUCAACCAAUAACACCCUACAUGAGCUGAGUUCAGACCGGCGUAAGCCAGGUUAGUUUCUAUCCUCGAUCACUUUAUCUACUUAUAGUACGAAAGGACCUAAUUAGAGUAAUAUUUACACACACGGAAUAAAUAUAAACCAAUCUAAAUAAAAUAAAUCAUAAACUAUGAGUAAGUUGGCAGAAUAGUGCCACC
RNAcentral lists this ribosomal RNA (514 nucleotides) under Lumbricus terrestris (common earthworm). RNAcentral describes it as "partial large subunit ribosomal RNA". The stretch from base 50 to 389 matches the Rfam family "Bacterial large subunit ribosomal RNA", at positions 2072 to 2648 of the family's 2925-position model. The record is from RNAcentral. Lineage: Eukaryota; Metazoa; Annelida; Clitellata; Crassiclitellata; Lumbricidae.